RNA transcript from Daucus carota subsp. sativus, 2135 nucleotides. It is a transcript of the gene named E3 ubiquitin-protein ligase BIG BROTHER, with no coding region annotated. Lineage: Eukaryota; Viridiplantae; Streptophyta; Magnoliopsida; Apiales; Apiaceae. The transcript is spliced from 9 exons. The record is from RefSeq and is a predicted model, not a curated record.
GAUCAGAAAAGUUGGACAAAUUCUGAGUUUCCAAGGUGUAUGGUAGAUAUAGCGCACCCGCAACGCAGCUGAUUACUACUACACUUGUUGACUGUGGCGUGUGUUUGUCUUAUAAACUGUCUGUCUGCUGCUGCUUCUUCUUGUUCUUCAGAAAGGAGCGAUCCUGUAAAUUGCUUCUUCACCCCUAUAAAACAGCUUCUGAUCAGUGAAUGAAAAUGGCUAGGCUACUACAUUUACUGAUCGGAUUAUGUGACUUGUGAGCUUAAAUCACAUUGUAUAAAAACAACUGCUUUGUGUGUGUGUUCCUGAAGAAGAACAAGUAUGGAUUUCUUUGAAGGUCUUACAUAUGAGCAUCUCAAUUUUAUCUUUGCUGAUCAUGAUCAUGAUCAUUUCUUCUCUACAACACAGGAGAGCUUAAAUCCCUUAAUGAAUACUAGUGCAUACAAAUUUGGGUUAUGUGAACCUGGGUGCUUAUCUGAACCUGGGUGCUUAUCUUACUAUGAUUAUGGUCAUACUUAUGUGGUCGGAGACUGUACACCACGGAUUAAUGAGUACAGCAGUCACAUGGAGAACUCCGCUUCACUGCCCAGUGUCAGGCCCGCAGCUGUGCAUACACCACAUGAAGAAAUUUCAAGCUCAACGUCGCAUGUAAAUCCUGUCGAUUGUCUACGAGGUCCUCAUAAUACUGAUGAUUACCAGGUUGUUUGGCAAGACAAUGUCGACCCUGACAACAUGACUUAUGAGGAACUGCUUGACUUAGGUGAGACAGUUGGAACUCAAAGUCGUGGUCUUUCCCAAGAGAAUAUUUCCUUGCUCCCAAUCUCGAAGUUCAAGUGUGGGUUUUUUUCUAGAAGAAAAUCUAGAAGAGAAAGGUGUGUGAUUUGCCAGAUGGAGUAUAAACGCGGUGACCAACAGAUUAACCUUCCAUGUAAACAUAUCUAUCAUUCUGGUUGCGGCAGCAGAUGGCUUAGUAUCAACAAGGCUUGCCCCAUUUGUUACAAGGAGGUCUUUGCCAAUGCAUCAAAGCAGUCAGCAAAGUAGUAAGCAGAAAAGGGGAUGCUUCCAUUGCUCAGUUUGUGUUUCUCUUUUAGUGCUUGGAAACGUGGCAAGAUGUAUUGAUGUCACCUUUGGUGGUGCUACCAUGCGUGAUUGGGUUAACUAAUACAGUAUCUCAUAGUAUUCUGUUCUGUCGUUUGUUUUGGUCUGUAAGAGUAACGGGCGAAAAGCUUUAAAAUGGUGAUAUCCUUAAAAUUCCUCUACUUCAUAUCAACAUGCUUUUAUUAGAGACAUCAAAUCGAAUCUAUUACAAUUCCACAGACAGAGAGAUGGUGACCACACUAAACUCGAAAGAUACCUAAAAUGCAUCAUACAACGUAAUAAUAACAAAAGGUAAAUAAUUUGAUGCGACGAUGUUCAUAUUUAUUUAGUUAGCAGCAUAGAAUCACAAACACUGCAUUUAUUCGUAAUCGACUUGGCUCUUAGUACAUCAUAAGUAGUAACCGUGAAUCAAAAUCAGAAGAUGCAUGCAUGGCAGGCGGGGCAUUGAUAUCUAGUAAGGAGGUGGUGGAGACUUGUACAUGUAGUGCUUUGUGGGUGCUGGUGCUGGCGAUUUGUAGGUGUCGGGUGACUUAGGUGCUGGUGCUGGUGCUUCUGGAGCUGGAGAAGGUGUAUAGACAUAAGGAGAUGAUGGAGACGGAGAAGGUGAUAGGGGACAAUGACAAACACAUGUGUGCGAUGGAGAAGGGGACGGCGAAUAAGGAGCUGGAGCAGGUGUUGGAGAUGGAGAAGGUGAUGGUGAAGUGUAGACCACAGGGCUGGAGGUUGCAGGUGGAGGUGGAGAUUUGUAGACGUAGUGGUGGUGGGGAUUUGCAACUGCAUAAUUGGUAGCAAUGCUACAUAAUAUUGCUGCAAGAGUGCAAAAUGCUAGUGAAGGUCCCAUUUUUGAAUAUCUCUUUAAACAAGGGACUGAAUGAAGAGGCUAAUGCAAGACUACAAAUGGUAGCUUGUUGCUGGAUAUAUGAGAUUGUGGUUUGUUUUACCCUCUAUAUAUAGUGCUCAUUUUUGACAUUUACAACUUUGGUGGAUGUUAUUGAUGCUAUUAUAAUACUAUGUGUAAGUAAAUUUUUUUUGUUGGA